This is a long non-coding RNA of Priapulus caudatus, 245 nucleotides long. RefSeq lists it as uncharacterized. NCBI's taxonomy places the organism in Eukaryota, Metazoa, Priapulida, Priapulimorpha, Priapulimorphida, Priapulidae. The transcript has 3 exons. The record is from RefSeq and is a predicted model, not a curated record.
UUGCAGGGAAUGGCUAUCUCAACAAACUACCGACAUACCUUUAUCUACUCACGUGGAUAUCAAUGAUGGACACGACGGAGACGAUGUAAUUUGGUUUUAUAAGAUCUCCCACUUCUGGUACAGUGUCAUUACUGUGAUUAUGUGCUGCGUGGUUGGUCUUCUGGUUAGCCUGGCAACAGGAGGACAGAAAACGGAUCUUGACCCAAUACUUGUUAAUCCAUUGGUUAGGAAAGUAAAGUUCUGUG